This 242-nucleotide ribosomal RNA is filed under the name uncultured bacterium. Its description in RNAcentral is "partial 16S ribosomal RNA". It matches the Rfam family "Bacterial small subunit ribosomal RNA", at positions 110 to 353 of the family's 1533-position model. The record is from RNAcentral.
GUAAUGUCUGGGAAACUGCCUGAUGGAGGGGGAGUAACUACUGGAAACGGUAGCUAAUACCGCAUAACGUCGCAAGACCAAAGAGGGGGACCUUCGGCCUCUUGCCAUCGGAUGUGCCCAGAUGGGAUUAGCUAGUAGGUAGGGUAACGGCUCACCUAGGCGACGAUCCCUAGCUGGUCUGAGAGGAUGACCAGCCACACUGGAACUGAGACACGGUCCAGACUCCUACGGGAGGCAGCAUG